This 495-nucleotide ribosomal RNA is filed under the name uncultured bacterium. RNAcentral's name for it is "partial 16S ribosomal RNA". It matches the Rfam family "Bacterial small subunit ribosomal RNA", at positions 29 to 506 of the family's 1533-position model. The record is from RNAcentral.
AUGAACGCUGGCGGCGUGCCUAAUACAUGCAAGUCGAGCGAACAGAUGAGGAGCUUGCUCCUCUGACGUUAGCGGCGGACGGGGGAGUAACACGUGGAUAACCUACCUAUAAGACUGGGAUAACUUCGGGAAACCGGAGCUAAUACCGGAUAAUAUAUUGAACCGCAUGGUUCAAUAGUGAAAGACGGUUUUGCUGUCACUUAUAGAUGGAUCCGCGCCGCAUUAGCUAGUUGGUAAGGUAACGGCUUACCAAGGCGACGAUGCGUAGCCGACCUGAGAGGGUGAUCGGCCACACUGGAACUGAGACACGGUCCAGACUCCUACGGGAGGCAGCAGUAGGGAAUCUUCCGCAAUGGGCGAAAGCCUGACGGAGCAACGCCGCGUGAGUGAUGAAGGUCUUCGGAUCGUAAAACUCUGUUAUUAGGGAAGAACAAAUGUGUAAGUAACUAUGCACGUCUUGACGGUACCUAAUCAGAAAGCCACGGCUAACUACGU